GAUGAACGCUAGCGGCAGGCCUAAUACAUGCAAGUCAAGGGGAUAGCAAUAUCACCGGCGGACGGGUGCGUAACGCGUACACAACGUGCCCAAGGGCGGAGGAAAGCGGCGGGAAACUGCCGGUAAUACUCCAUGGUGUUGUUGAGUGGCAUCACUUAACAACUAAAGUACAAGCGCCCUUGGAUCGGUGUGCGUUCGAUUAGCUAGUUGGCGGGGUAACGGCCCACCAAGGCUUCGAUCGAUAGGGGGUGUGAGAGCAUGACCCCCCACACGGUACGUNAGACACGGACCCGACCUCCUACGGGAGGCAGCAGUAAGGAA
RNAcentral lists this ribosomal RNA (321 nucleotides) under uncultured bacterium. RNAcentral describes it as "bacterial SSU rRNA". It matches the Rfam family "Bacterial small subunit ribosomal RNA", at positions 28 to 361 of the family's 1533-position model. The record is from RNAcentral.